RNAcentral lists this ribosomal RNA (225 nucleotides) under uncultured bacterium. RNAcentral's name for it is "partial 16S ribosomal RNA". It matches the Rfam family "Bacterial small subunit ribosomal RNA", at positions 524 to 748 of the family's 1533-position model. The record is from RNAcentral.
UACGUAGGGAGCAAGCGUUGUCCGGAAUCAUUGGGCGUAAAGCGCGCGUAGGCGGCCCUGUAAGUCCGCUGUGAAAGUCAAAGGCUCAACCCUUGAAAGCCGGUGGAUACUGCAGGGCUAGAGUCCGGAAGAGGCGAGUGGAAUUCCUGGUGUAGCGGUGGAAUGCGCAGAUAUCAGGAGGAACACCAAUAGCGAAGGCAGCUCGCUGGGACGGUACUGACGCUA